This 237-nucleotide ribosomal RNA is filed under the name uncultured bacterium. Its description in RNAcentral is "partial small subunit ribosomal RNA". It matches the Rfam family "Bacterial small subunit ribosomal RNA", at positions 26 to 287 of the family's 1533-position model. The record is from RNAcentral.
AGAGCGAACGCUGGCGGCAUGCUUAACACAUGCAAGUCGCACGGUCGGAGCGAUCCGGCAGUGGCGGACGGGUGAGUAACGCGUAGGAAUCUAUCCUCAGGUGGGGGACAACGGUUGGAAACGACUGCUAAUACCGCAUGAUACCUGUGGGUCAAAGGCGCAAGUCGCCUGGGGAGGAGCCUGCGUACGAUUAGCUAGUUGGUGGGGUAACGGCCCACCAAGGCGACGACGGGUAGC